GGGCCUGUAGCUCAGUUGGCUAGAGCGCACCCCUGAUAAGGGUGAGGUCGGUAGUUCGAGUCUACCCAGGCCCA
Terriglobus saanensis SP1PR4 is the source of this 74-nucleotide transfer RNA. It matches the Rfam family "tRNA". From Rfam's summary of the family: Transfer RNA (tRNA) molecules are approximately 80 nucleotides in length. Their secondary structure includes four short double-helical elements and three loops (D, anti-codon, and T loops). NCBI's taxonomy places the organism in Bacteria, Pseudomonadati, Acidobacteriota, Terriglobia, Terriglobales, Acidobacteriaceae. The record is from Rfam.